Molecule: ribosomal RNA, 253 nt
Filed under: uncultured bacterium
Lineage: Bacteria
Description: partial 16S ribosomal RNA
Rfam family: Bacterial small subunit ribosomal RNA
Source: RNAcentral
UACGUAGGGUGCAAGCGUUAAUCGGAAUUAUUGGGCGUAAAGAGCUCGUAGGCGGUUUGUCGCGUCCGCUGUGAAAACCUAAGGCUCAACCUUGGGCUUGCAGUGGGUACGGGCAGACUAGAGUGCGGUAGGGGUGACUGGAAUUCCUGGUGUAGCGGUGGAAUGCGCAGAUAUCAGGAGGAACACCGAUGGCGAAGGCAGGUCACUGGGCCGCAACUGACGCUGAGGAGCGAAAGCAUGGGGAGCGAACAGG